ACGGGUCAUCUGUGACACCCUCUCCCCACAGCGCAUCCUUGGCCCACCCAUGUCUGUCCCCUUACUGUUUUCCAGACCCUCAGAUCCACUUCUCACAGCCAUUUACCCCCGUCCCCCACCCCUACCCCAUGCCCAGCAUCACCAAGGUCACCCGGGCCCCUGUGUGACCCUCACACGCACGCACCCUCAUGCCGGCACACGCACCCUACAGCUCACACUUACUGGGACACACAUCCUGGCACGUGUUUGCACACACACGUGAAUCCAGGGUCCACAGCCUCAGCCGCAUGCCCGCUCUGGGGUCCAGCAGCCGGAUCGCUCUCCAGAAAGUGCCAUAGGAAGCAGACGUCAUCCUGACCUGGCAAGCACUUUGGGGUGUCACCCGCAGCCAUGCCGCAUUGAGAAGAAUGAGUGCAAUAAAAACGUGAGCUUGUUUGAUAACA
This is a long non-coding RNA of Neofelis nebulosa (Clouded leopard), 443 nucleotides long. RefSeq lists it as uncharacterized. Lineage: Eukaryota; Metazoa; Chordata; Mammalia; Carnivora; Felidae. The transcript has 2 exons. The record is from RefSeq and is a predicted model, not a curated record.